This is an RNA transcript of Quercus lobata, 2320 nucleotides long. It is a transcript of the gene named NKAP-like protein, with no coding region annotated. The transcript has 3 exons. NCBI's taxonomy places the organism in Eukaryota, Viridiplantae, Streptophyta, Magnoliopsida, Fagales, Fagaceae. The record is from RefSeq and is a predicted model, not a curated record.
GCCCACAGUUAAUAAGUCCAACCUUUCUCACCCCAAAUCAAACACUCAUUACAGAUAGCGUCGGCAAACAGAAGCAACAAUCCCUUGAAUGAUCAAAAUGGGGAGGCCAGCGUCGACGAUCGAAAUCCCUGACAAACGACACAGUUCUGACCGCGAUAACGGCCGUUACUCUCCAGAUUCCGAUAACUCCUUCGAAUACAGCAGGCGCCACCACCGUCGUAGCCCUAAUUAUGACGCCUACGACCGCUAUUACGACAACCACGACCGCCGCCACCACAACCACAACCAAGAACGGAGCUCAAGCCCAAACCCUAGGUCCAGCAAAGCCCAAGACUCUUUGCCCAAGCGAUUUGGACGCGAUUACCGUAAUGGAAACCCGUCCGAGUCCGAGUCUGAUGAGGAAUUGAAGGGGCUGAACCCUGAGGAGUACCGGAGGCUCAAGAGGCAGAAGAUGAGAAGAGCGCUCACUCGUUGUAUUUGGAAUUGCACGCCGAGUCCGCCUAGGAACGAGAACGAGAACGAUAACGAGAAGGCUGACGAGAUCUCUGACAAGUACGGUGGAGAAGACGAGUUAAUCGGCGGUGAAAAGAGCGAUUCAAGCUCGAAAGAGAAGGCGAAGGUGAGUAAUCGGAAAGGAAAAUCGGAAAGUCAGUCUAAUUCCGAGUCUGAAUCGGAAUCGGAAACCGAUGAUUCGCGGUCGAGGAGGAAGAGGAAGAGGAAGAGUUCGAUUUCGAUUUCCAAGAGUAGUAAAUACGAAUCUGAUGAGAGCGAGAGCGAGAGUGAAUCGGAGGAAGAAGAAGAAAAGCGAAAGCAAAGAAAGAAAAGCAGUAGUAGGAAUCGGAGCCGCCAUAGGAGUAGCAAAAGAAGCAGUAGAAGAAAAGGGAGUAGUAGUAGGAGAAAGAGUAGGUACAGCAAUUCCGAUGAGAGUGAUGAUUCCGAUGCUAGCAAUCGAGUAAGGUCGAAGAAGAAGCGGAGUCGGAGUAGGAAUCUCUCGGAUACAGAGAAGGACAUUGAGGUUUCGAAUUCAGAGGGUUCCGAAGUUGAAAAGGCAGCAAUGAUGAUAGAGGAGGAUGGGGAGAUGAAAGCUGAAAGCAUUGCGGAGGCAUUGAAUUUUAAGGAGAUUUUCGAGGCACAGAAGAAGCCGGCUCUGGAUACCGAACCAGUGGUUGGGCCAAUGCCCUUGCCUAGAGCCGAAGGGCAUAUCAGUUAUGGUGGCGCACUUAGGCCCGGAGAAGGUGAUGCCAUUGCUCAGUAUGUGCAGCAAGGGAAGCGUAUUCCAAGGAGAGGAGAAGUGGGUUUAUCUGCAGAUGAGAUUCAGAAGUUCGAGGGUCUUGGUUAUGUGAUGAGCGGUAGCAGGCACCAGAGGAUGAAUGCUAUUCGUAUUAGGAAGGAAAACCAAGUUUAUAGUGCCGAGGAUAAGAGGGCGUUGGCUAUGUUUAAUUACGAAGAGAAGGCCAAGCGUGAGCACAAGGUUAUGGCUGAUUUGCAGAGAUUGGUGCAGCGCCAUAUAGGGCAGGAUGUCGGUCCAAAUCAUGAUCCCUUCAGUGCAACGAAGCCUGCAGAUACUGCUGAUGCUUGAUUUUUAUGGUCUAGCUCCCCUCCAAUCUUGAAAUCUCCUGUUCUCUCCCAUUUUAAAACUGAUGGACACAUGGAAAAAAUAAAAUCCAAAGGUUACAAAGAUGCCACGCCAAAUACAACUUUUUUCCUGGGAUGCACGAACGCGGCUCCGGACCCAACGCACCCGCGUCCGACGCGGCAGGAUGCGGCUACGCGGGAGGGACGCUGCAGACCGCGCGUCCGUGCCGUGUCGUGCCACGUGGAUUUUCCGACUCGCGUCAACACGGCUCAAAUCGGCUUCGACGCACGCCGAACUGGACGGAUUUGCGCCAAUUCAGGCCGAAUCGGAUCGUAUCGGCAGAAUAUUGGCGUGUUUCGGCCGGAAAAAGGAAAUCGGCCGUAAGCUUUGAUUUCGGUGCCUAUGAUGCUCAGGUGGCGGUGGUGAUGGAGAAGAAGAGAGAGGCAAAUAAGAGAGGAAAGUCUUGUUGGGGAGAAAGAGAAAGAGGGUGGUUAGACUUCUUAGGUGAGAAAAAAGUUGUAUUUGGUAUGGCAUCUUUGUAACUCAUGGAUUUUAUUUUUGCCACGGGUCUAUCAUCAGUUUUAAAAUGGGAGAAAAUGGGAGACUUCAAGAAUGUAGGGGAGCCAGACCCUAUAUUAUAAAGAACUUAUUCUUGCAUCCACGCUUGCUUUAUUAUUUGAGAAAUGCUAUGUUCACAAUAUUCUCACAGCAAAUUCUAAGUAGUAGGUUGUUAUUGGCUGUUAU